Long non-coding RNA from Ficedula albicollis (Collared flycatcher), 3223 nucleotides. The record is from Ensembl. NCBI's taxonomy places the organism in Eukaryota, Metazoa, Chordata, Aves, Passeriformes, Muscicapidae.
CUUCCCCUUCCUCAGGGCAUCCUCAGAACUUCUCCAUCCUCAGAGCACCCCAAGGUCCUUCCCCAUCCUCAGAGCUCCCCAGUGCACAGCCAGGAUAUUCCCCAUUCUGAGAGCACCCCCAGGACCUUCCCCAUCCUCGGGGCACCUGCAGUCACAGCCAUGGGGUGAGUGGCUCUGAGGUGGGUGUGCUGGGGUGUGGAGCAGCAGGAUGGAGAUGCAGCAGGAUGGAGAUGCAGCAGCAGGAUGGAGAUGCAGCAGGAUGGAGAUGCAGCAGGAUGGAGGAGCAGCAGGAUGGAGAUGCAGCAGCAGGAUGGAGAUGCAGCAGGAUGUCAGCAGCAGCAGGAUGGAGGAGCAGUAGGAUGGAGAUGCAGGAGGAUGGAGAUGCAGCAGGAUGUCAGCAGCAGCAGGAUGUCAGCAGCAGCAGGAUGGAGGUAAAGCUGCGUGUCUGGCCUUGGUGCCCGAACCCUCCCAGCGUUGGAGGUUCUGCACAGCGUUUCCCAGCCUGGCACAGGCCCCUGGCGUGGAGCUCACGUGCAGCCACCAAGGUCAGUGACACAGAUCCCUGCAGCUGCAGCACAUCUGACACCAGCGUCCAGCCAGGCUGUGCUGGAAGCUGAACCCGUUGCUCCCACUACAGAAGGUGUUUGAGGGCCCCGGGGGUUUGUUUGAACUCUCUUUCUCAUCCACAGCAGAGACUUGUCCCUCCCUUUUCUCACACCAAUGCCCAACAAUCUGGCUUUGGGCAGGGACAAGUUUCUGUUGAAGCCUUCUUUGCUCCUGUCCUCAGGAAAGAGGGAUGAGAAAGCAGCCCCACCAUGCCCAAGGAGAAGCAGAGAAAUCUCGAGAUUAAAAAGCUUUAAUGAAAUAUCUCUGGAAUGCCAGCCCCAGAGAGGCCUCAUCACCUUCCUUGGGCCAUGCCCUUGCCACAGCCAGGGUGCUUUGCCUGUGCUCUGCCUGCCCAGGGAGGCUGCCACGCUCAGUGCCACAGCUCCUGAGGGCAGGAAUGGAAAUGGAAAACAGCUCCCAGCACUUCUCAGCGGGACUUGCAGCUCAGCCAGCCCCAGUACUGCUGUGAGCCUUCCUCAUCUCCAGUCUCCAGCAGGUGUGAGCUGCCCGUGGUUCCCAACACAUCCUGUGCCCUCCAGGCACGAGGGCUGUGAGAGUCCUGGGAGCUGUUUUGGGUACUGCUACAAGACAAAUUGCCUGUGCAGAAGUGUUUACAGUGUUGUCUGGCCUGACUUCUUCCUUAUUCUGAACAUGUGCCUGGCAAGUUCAGGAGGAAAUUCAGGUCAGGUACUGACUACACCUGUCUGUCACAGCUGUGUGGGAAUCUCAUGGAGCAUCCCAGAAUCCCAGAGCCACCAGGAAUGUGGGAAGAGCCCUUCAGGAUCACCCAGUGCCAUGCAGCAGCAGCAGCAUCACCCCAACCCCUGUCCCCAAGGGCCAGAUCCAGACUGGCUGAGCACUCCCCCAGACAGUGACUGCAAACCUCCCUGGGCAGCUCAUCCCACAAAAUUAUUUCCAAUCUCCACCCUGAGCCUGCCCUGGUGCAAUUUGAGGCCAUUUCCUCUGCUCCUUUCACUGCCCCUCCUGUCAGGGAGUUGUGCAGAGCCACAAGGUCCCCCUGAGCCUCCUUUUCUCCAGGCUGAGCCCCUUCCCAGCUCCCAGGCUGAGCCCCUGCCCAGCUCCCUCAGCCCCUCCUGGGGCUCCAGCCCUGCCCUCUCCUGCCCUGUCUAUCCCUUUAAGGAAGCUCAGGAUGAUCCCCAAAUCACCACUUAUCUAAGGUGUCCACCAGGUCCGAGCUCCCUUGAAUUUCACAAGCUUGGUUUUUCCUGCAAAAGCAUCCAAAGACUGCAGGAAAUGUAAUAUUUAAUAUUUAAAGCACAGGGUUAGAGAGGAUGGUCUGAACAACAAGUGGUGGCCAUGGCCUGAAUGCUCAGUAAGGAAAUAAAAACUCCCCUAACAGAGAUUUUAUUUAAGUAAUAAGUGUCAAAAUGUCCUGACUUUUUCAUGCUGGAAUUUGGGCAAACCACCCUCUCUGCAUCCUGGUGUCUAUCCCACCUGUCCCUAUCCCAAAAAGCAGCACAGAGAGCAUGGAAAAAUAAUUUCACUCUUAAUACAUCACCCUUUGUAAUAAAGCACAAGGUAAAAAUAUGUCCUCAUGAAUUCCAUAUGCAUAUACAAAUACAGGUUUUCUUUGGGAAAGAUUUUGGGAAUGGUUGAGGGUUGUAGCAGAGUGGGGCUCUGCUGCCAGGGAACAGGGACAGGACAAGGGGAAAUGUCCUCAAACUGUGCCAGGGCAGGCUCAGGUUGGACACCAGGAGCAAUUUCCUCAUGGAAAAGGUGGUCAGGCCUUGGAAGGGGGUCACAGCUUGGGCUCAAUGAUCUGGGAGGGUUUUUCCACUGUGCCAGGGCAGGCUCAGGUUGGACACCAGGAGCAAUUUCCUCAUGGAAAAGGUGGUCAGGCCUUGGAAGGGGGUCACAGCUUGGGCUCAAUGAUCUGGGAGGGUUUUUCCAACCUCAAUAAUUCUGGGAUUCCAUGAAAAAAAUGUCCUGCAAUGUCUCAGAGGCUCCUGAAAAAGAAACUGGCUGGGUGUGGCAGGGUUAAGGGGGAAAAUGAAAGACAAAAAAUGGCACUUUUAGAAGCUCAAAAUCACCAGUCAGAGCCUCUCUAACCACAGCUAUUUUGGGUUUUAGCAGUCUCUUGAUUAGGCUGGACUAAACCUCGUUUUGCAGCAGGUCCUCUGUGCACCACACAAAGCCAAUCCUCUCCUCUUACUAAAAACUUGAGUUUCCACCUAUGACACAUUGUUCAAUAUCAAAAGAAAAUCAGAAUUUAUCACAGUUUUAGGACUGGGAUGUUGGUUACCUCCAGCCCCAGAUCAGGAGAGGUAUUUGGAAGUGCUGGUAGAAAGCAGGGAUUGCCUGUGGAGAGAGGAAUUGCCCUGCAGUGAGGUUUUGUUUGCCUGGCUAUGGGCAGGGGUGUAGGACAGGUGCAGGCCUGUUCUCCCUGCUAUUUCCUCACUGCUCCAGGAGGUUUGUCCAUAAACACCACAUAUUUCAGGUGGGUUUAGGAUUUAGGGCUGGGAUCUAAUGAGAGUAUGCAAGAGAGAUGGAAAAAGGAAAGGGAGGAGAAUAGAUGGGAAAAGACUGGGAUGAAGAAAGGCUGGAUUUGAGGAAGGUUAGGACAGAGAAAUGGUGGGGUAGUAGGAAGAUGAAUGAG